AACGGUCUAUACCUGCGGUACCUGCGGAGGGAUCAUUAUAGAGUGGUAAACCUCCCGUAAAAAGGGGGGGACCUCCCGUCCUUUGCAGGCUCUUUUUUAAGGGGCUUUUUUGACUUUCUGCUUCGGUGGGGUUAUCCUACCGGAACAACUUCAAAACUCUGAAUCAAAAAAAUCGUUCUGUCCGAGGGCUUUUUUAUAAAAUAAAAAAAAACUUUCAGCAAUGGAUCUCUAGAUCGGAAG
This 240-nucleotide unclassified non-coding RNA is filed under the name soil metagenome. RNAcentral's name for it is "partial contains 5.8S ribosomal RNA, internal transcribed spacer 2, and large subunit ribosomal RNA". The record is from RNAcentral.